Molecule: ribosomal RNA, 431 nt
Filed under: Klebsiella pneumoniae
Lineage: Bacteria; Pseudomonadati; Pseudomonadota; Gammaproteobacteria; Enterobacterales; Enterobacteriaceae
Description: partial 23S ribosomal RNA
Rfam family: Bacterial large subunit ribosomal RNA
Source: RNAcentral
CCCAAAGCGUAACGGAGGAGCACGAAGGUUAGCUAAUCCUGGUCGGACAUCAGGAGGUUAGUGCAAUGGCAUAAGCUAGCUUGACUGCGAGCGUGACGGCGCGAGCAGGUGCGAAAGCAGGUCAUAGUGAUCCGGUGGUUCUGAAUGGAAGGGCCAUCGCUCAACGGAUAAAAGGUACUCCGGGGAUAACAGGCUGAUACCGCCCAAGAGUUCAUAUCGACGGCGGUGUUUGGCACCUCGAUGUCGGCUCAUCACAUCCUGGGGCUGAAGUAGGUCCCAAGGGUAUGGCUGUUCGCCAUUUAAAGUGGUACGCGAGCUGGGUUUAGAACGUCGUGAGACAGUUCGGUCCCUAUCUGCCGUGGGCGCUGGAGAAUUGAGGGGGGCUGCUCCUAGUACGAGAGGACCGGAGUGGACGCAUCACUGGUGUUCGG